ACGGAAGGCAGCAGUGGGGGAUAUUGCGCAAUGGAGGAAACUCUGAUGCAGCAACGCCGCGUGAGGGAAGAAGGUCUUCGGAUUGUAAACCUUUGUUUUUGGUGAAGAUAAUGACGGUAGCCAAAGAGGAAGCCACGGCUAACUACGUGCCAGCAGCCGCGGUAAUACGUAGGUGGCAAGCGUUGUCCGGAAUUACUGGGUGUAAAGGGUGCGCAGGCGGGUCAGCAAGUUGGAUGUGAAAUACCGGGGCUUAACCCCGGAGCUGCAUCCAAAACUGUUGAUCUUGAGUGAAGUAGAGGUUGGCGGAAUUCCGAGUGUAGCGGUGAAAUGCGUAGAUAUUCGGAGGAACACCAGUGGCGAAGGCGGCCAACUGGGCUUUAACUGACGCUGAGGCACGAAAGCAUGGGGAGCAAACAGGAUUAGAUACCCUGGUA
This 434-nucleotide ribosomal RNA is filed under the name uncultured Clostridium sp. RNAcentral describes it as "partial 16S ribosomal RNA". It matches the Rfam family "Bacterial small subunit ribosomal RNA", at positions 341 to 792 of the family's 1533-position model. Lineage: Bacteria; Bacillati; Bacillota; Clostridia; Eubacteriales; Clostridiaceae. The record is from RNAcentral.